GGGAAAGCUCUUCUUCUUUGCCUUACGGUGCUUGUCCUUCUAGGAGAUUCAACUCAUGCUCGGUGCUAUGAAAAGCGUGCUUACUGGAUACCUUUGUAUUGCCUAGACGAAAAUUUCUGCCAGAACAAAUGCGUGAAGAAGUUCGGAAAGCUCGUGAAAGGCGGUCACCUUCGCCAACGGAUGGAUCAAGGCGCCCCUCAUCCGCUAAGCUCCGGUCGAGCUCUCCUCCUCCACCUUACAGCGAGAGACAUGACUUGCUUCCAUUCUAUAGAGAUUGUUGUAAAGCUGUAUGUAAUUCAUUUCUUCAGAGAUCUUGAUAUAGUGGAGUCACCAGCUACUCUGCAUUCAUGAC
Triticum aestivum (bread wheat) is the source of this 352-nucleotide long non-coding RNA. RefSeq lists it as uncharacterized. Lineage: Eukaryota; Viridiplantae; Streptophyta; Magnoliopsida; Poales; Poaceae. The record is from RefSeq and is a predicted model, not a curated record. The transcript is spliced from 3 exons.